AGAGAAUAGAUACCCAGGUAGUCCACGCCGUAAACGAUGGAUACUAGCUGUUCGGAGCAAAUCUGAGUGGCUAAAGCGAAAGUGAUAAGUAUCCCACCUGGGGAGUACGCACGCAAGUGUGAAACUCAAAGGAAUUGACGGGGGCCCGCACAAGCGGUGGAGCAUGUGGUUUAAUUCGAUGAUACGCGAGGAACCUUACCAGGGCUUAAAUGUAGAUUGACAGGACUGGAAACAGUUUUUCUUCGGACAAUUUACAAGGUGCUGCAUGGUUGUCGUCAGCUCGUGCCGUGAGGUGUCAGGUUAAGUCCUAUAACGAGCGCAACCCCUGUCGUUAGUUGCCAGCGAGUCAUGUCGGGAACUCUAACGAGACUGCCAGUGUAAACCUGUGAGGAAGGUGGGGAUGACGUCAAAUCAUCACGGCCCUUACGGUCCUGGGCCACACACGUGCUACAAUGGUAGGUACAGAGAGCAGCCACUGCGCGAGCAGGAGCGAAUCUACAAAA
This 503-nucleotide ribosomal RNA is filed under the name uncultured bacterium. RNAcentral describes it as "bacterial SSU rRNA". It matches the Rfam family "Bacterial small subunit ribosomal RNA", at positions 773 to 1280 of the family's 1533-position model. The record is from RNAcentral.